This 384-nucleotide ribosomal RNA is filed under the name uncultured bacterium. Its description in RNAcentral is "bacterial SSU rRNA". It matches the Rfam family "Bacterial small subunit ribosomal RNA", at positions 30 to 416 of the family's 1533-position model. The record is from RNAcentral.
AUUGAACGCUGGCGGCAUGCCUUACACAUGCAAGUCGAACGGUAACGGGCCUUCGGGUGCCGACGAGUGGCGAACGGGUGCGUAAUGUAUCGGAACGUACCUUUCAGUGGGGGAUAACGUAGCGAAAGUUACGCUAAUACCGCAUAUUCUGUGAGCAGGAAAGCAGGGGAUCGCAAGACCUUGCGCUGAUUGAGCGGCCGAUAUCAGAUUAGCUAGUUGGUGAGGUAAAGGCUCACCAAGGCGACGAUCUGUAGCGGGUCUGAGAGGAUGAUCCGCCACACUGGAACUGAGACACGGUCCAGACUCCUACGGGAGGCAGCAGUGGGGAAUUUUGGACAAUGGGGGCAACCCUGAUCCAGCCAUGCCGCGUGAGUGAAGAAGGCC